UUAAGCGACUAAGCGUACACGGUGGAUGCCCUGGCAGUCAGAGGCGAUGAAGGACGUGCUAAUCUGCGAUAAGCGUCGGUAAGGUGAUAUGAACCGUUAUAACCGGCGAUUUCCGAAUGGGGAAACCCAGUGUGUUUCGACACACUAUCAUUAACUGAAUCCAUAGGUUAAUGAGGCGAACCGGGGGAACUGAAACAUCUAAGUACCCCGAGGAAAAGAAAUCAACCGAGAUUCCCCCAGUAGCGGCGAGCGAACGGGGAGGAGCCCAGAGCCUGAAUCAGUGUGUGUGUUAGUGGAAGCGUCUGGAAAGGCGCGCGAUACAGGGUGACAGCCCCGUACACAAAAAUGCACAUGCUGUGAGCUCGAUGAGUAGGGCGGGACACGUGGUAUCCUGUCUGAAUAUGGGGGGACCAUCCUCCAAGGCUAAAUACUCCUGACUGACCGAUAGUGAACCAGUACCGUGAGGGAAAGGCGAAAAGAACCCCGGCGAGGGGAGUGAAAAAGAACCUGAAACCGUGUACGUACAAGCAGUGGGAGCACAGAGCAAUCUGUGUGACUGCGUACCUUUUGUAUAAUGGGUCAGCGACUUAUAUUCUGUAGCAAGGUUAACCGAAUAGGGGAGCCGAAGGGAAACCGAGUCUUAGCUGGGCGUUAAGUUGCAGGGUAUAGACCCGAAACCCGGUGAUCUAGCCAUGGGCAGGUUGAAGGUUGGGUAACACUAACUGGAGGACCGAACCGACUAAUGUUGAAAAAUUAGCGGAUGACUUGUGGCUGGGGGUGAAAGGCCAAUCAAACCGGGAGAUAGCUGGUUCUCCCCGAAAGCUAUUUAGGUAGCGCCUCGUGAAUUCAUCUCCGGGGGUAGAGCACUGUUUCGGCAAGGGGGUCAUCCCGACUUACCAACCCGAUGCAAACUGCGAAUACCGGAGAAUGUUAUCACGGGAGACACACGGCGGGUGCUAACGUCCGUCGUGAAGAGGGAAACAACCCAGACCGCCAGCUAAGGUCCCAAAGUCAUGGUUAAGUGGGAAACGAUGUGGGAAGGCCCAGACAGCCAGGAUGUUGGCUUAGAAGCAGCCAUCAUUUAAAGAAAGCGUAAUAGCUCACUGGUCGAGUCGGCCUGCGCGGAAGAUGUAACGGGGCUAAACCAUGCACCGAAGCUGCGGCAGCGACACUGUGUGUUGUUGGGUAGGGGAGCGUUCUGUAAGCCUGUGAAGGUGUGCUGUGAGGCAUGCUGGAGGUAUCAGAAGUGCGAAUGCUGACAUAAGUAACGAUAAAGCGGGUGAAAAGCCCGCUCGCCGGAAGACCAAGGGUUCCUGUCCAACGUUAAUCGGGGCAGGGUGAGUCGACCCCUAAGGCGAGGCCGAAAGGCGUAGUCGAUGGGAAACAGGUUAAUAUUCCUGUACUUGGUGUUACUGCGAAGGGGGGACGGAGAAGGCUAUGUUGGCCGGGCGACGGUUGUCCCGGUUUAAGCGUGUAGGCUGGUUUUCCAGGCAAAUCCGGAAAAUCAAGGCUGAGGCGUGAUGACGAGGCACUACGGUGCUGAAGCAACAAAUGCCCUGCUUCCAGGAAAAGCCUCUAAGCAUCAGGUAACAUCAAAUCGUACCCCAAACCGACACAGGUGGUCAGGUAGAGAAUACCAAGGCGCUUGAGAGAACUCGGGUGAAGGAACUAGGCAAAAUGGUGCCGUAACUUCGGGAGAAGGCACGCUGAUAUGUAGGUGAAGUCCCUCGCGGAUGGAGCUGAAAUCAGUCGAAGAUACCAGCUGGCUGCAACUGUUUAUUAAAAACACAGCACUGUGCAAACACGAAAGUGGACGUAUACGGUGUGACGCCUGCCCGGUGCCGGAAGGUUAAUUGAUGGGGUCAGCGCAAGCGAAGCUCUUGAUCGAAGCCCCGGUAAACGGCGGCCGUAACUAUAACGGUCCUAAGGUAGCGAAAUUCCUUGUCGGGUAAGUUCCGACCUGCACGAAUGGCGUAAUGAUGGCCAGGCUGUCUCCACCCGAGACUCAGUGAAAUUGAACUCGCUGUGAAGAUGCAGUGUACCCGCGGCAAGACGGAAAGACCCCGUGAACCUUUACUAUAGCUUGACACUGAACAUUGAGCCUUGAUGUGUAGGAUAGGUGGGAGGCUUUGAAGUGUGGACGCCAGUCUGCAUGGAGCCGACCUUGAAAUACCACCCUUUAAUGUUUGAUGUUCUAACGUGGACCCGUGAUCCGGGUUGCGGACAGUGUCUGGUGGGUAGUUUGACUGGGGCGGUCUCCUCCUAAAGAGUAACGGAGGAGCACGAAGGUUGGCUAAUCCUGGUCGGACAUCAGGAGGUUAGUGCAAUGGCAUAAGCCAGCUUGACUGCGAGCGUGACGGCGCGAGCAGGUGCGAAAGCAGGUCAUAGUGAUCCGGUGGUUCUGAAUGGAAGGGCCAUCGCUCAACGGAUAAAAGGUACUCCGGGGAUAACAGGCUGAUACCGCCCAAGAGUUCAUAUCGACGGCGGUGUUUGGCACCUCGAUGUCGGCUCAUCACAUCCUGGGGCUGAAGUAGGUCCCAAGGGUAUGGCUGUUCGCCAUUUAAAGUGGUACGCGAGCUGGGUUUAGAACGUCGUGAGACAGUUCGGUCCCUAUCUGCCGUGGGCGCUGGAGAACUGAGGGGGGCUGCUCCUAGUACGAGAGGACCGGAGUGGACGCAUCACUGGUGUUCGGGUUGUCAUGCCAAUGGCACUGCCCGGUAGCUAAAUGCGGAAGAGAUAAGUGCUGAAAGCAUCUAAGCACGAAACUUGCCCCGAGAUGAGUUCUCCCUGACCCUUUAAGGGUCCUGAAGGAACGUUGAAGACGACGACGUUGAUAGGCCGGGUGUGUAAGCGCAGCGAUGCGUUGAGCUAACCGGUACUAAUGAACCGUGAGGCUUAACCUU
This 2903-nucleotide ribosomal RNA is filed under the name Escherichia coli DEC5E. Its description in RNAcentral is "bacterial LSU rRNA". It matches the Rfam family "Bacterial large subunit ribosomal RNA". Lineage: Bacteria; Pseudomonadati; Pseudomonadota; Gammaproteobacteria; Enterobacterales; Enterobacteriaceae. The record is from RNAcentral.